CAGAGGACCGGCCCCCUCCAGGCUCCUCCGGCCCACAGGAAACAGUCAUCGCCGAGGAAGAGGUCAACUUACUGGGGAGGGCUCCAGGCGCCCCCCGGUGGCGAAAAGCAUCGUAUCUCUAGUGGGCGUAACACCACAUCAUGGGUUCAGAUUCCUCGACAUCAUGUUCCGGCAGCUCAACGUCCCCGCGCGCUUCUCCUGGAGGUCCGUCUGUGGAGGCUGCGCGCGCACCACGCGGUUCAACUUGCCGUCAGAAACGACCGCGAUGACGUUGAUGAAUAUGAUGAUGACCAUGAUGAAGAUGACCGUCGAAGCUGCGGGUUCGUGAGCGGAACGUCGUCGGACCCAGACGGAGCCACGCGCCUCUUCGUGUGGAUGACGGAUUGCUCAGCGGUCAGGGCAGUCCCCCCGCGGACCCUCAACACUCCACCUCCCCGCCUCACCCCUCCUCACCCCGCCUCACCCCGCCUCACCCCGCGGACCGCUGACCGAGGAGCGGAGACAUGAAAAGUUUAUUUCUGCUCACCUUCUGCCUCUCCGCGGAUCCCUUCACGGUGAUUGGACGCCACCCAACGUGUAACUUCCUGUUGGAGCUGGAGCGAGAUCAGGCUGAGUGCUCCACGCGUCUGAAGAACCAGAACCUCAGCACCACGGCAACAGG
Long non-coding RNA from Gadus macrocephalus (Pacific cod), 661 nucleotides. RefSeq lists it as uncharacterized. The transcript has 3 exons. The record is from RefSeq and is a predicted model, not a curated record. Lineage: Eukaryota; Metazoa; Chordata; Actinopteri; Gadiformes; Gadidae.